RNAcentral lists this small nuclear RNA (118 nucleotides) under Malassezia pachydermatis. RNAcentral's name for it is "U5 spliceosomal RNA". It matches the Rfam family "U5 spliceosomal RNA". From Rfam's summary of the family: U5 RNA is a component of both types of known spliceosome. The precise function of this molecule is unknown, though it is known that the 5' loop is required for splice site selection and p220 binding, and that both the 3' stem-loop and the Sm site are important for Sm protein binding and cap methylation. The record is from Rfam by way of RNAcentral. Lineage: Eukaryota; Fungi; Basidiomycota; Malasseziomycetes; Malasseziales; Malasseziaceae.
UGCUGCUGUGGGGCCCUCUCCUUAAACUUGAACCUCGCCUUUUACUAGAUUCAACCGGGCUGGUCCCACACUUAUAGCAGCAUGACCUACUUUUUCGCUUCGGUUCCGCUUGGAACUA